RNAcentral lists this ribosomal RNA (498 nucleotides) under uncultured bacterium. RNAcentral's name for it is "partial 16S ribosomal RNA". It matches the Rfam family "Bacterial small subunit ribosomal RNA", at positions 30 to 523 of the family's 1533-position model. The record is from RNAcentral.
AUUGAACGCUGGCGGCAUGCCUUACACAUGCAAGUCGAACGGCAGCACGGGGCAACCUGGUGGCGAGUGGCGAACGGGUGAGUAAUGCAUCGGAACGUACCUUUCAGUGGGGGAUAACGUAGCGAAAGUUGCGCUAAUACCGCAUAUUCUGUGAGCAGGAAAGCAGGGGAUCGCAAGACCUUGCGCUGAUUGAGCGGCCGAUGUCAGAUUAGCUAGUUGGUGAGGUAAAGGCUCACCAAGGCGACGAUCUGUAGCGGGUCUGAGAGGAUGAUCCGCCACACUGGAACUGAGACACGGUGCAGACGCCUACGGGAGGCAGCAGUGGGGAAUUUUGGACAAUGGGGGCAACCCUGAUCCAGCCAUGCCGCGUGAGUGAAGAAGGCCUUCGGGUUGUAAAGCUCUUUCGGCCGGGAAGAAAUCGCACGGGCUAAUACCCUGUGUGGAUGACGGUACCGGAAUAAGAAGCACCGGCUAACUACGUGCCAGCCGCCGCCGUAA